GACGGAGGGUGCUAGCGUUGUUCGGAAUCACUGGGCGUAAAGGGCGCGUAGGCGGCGCCGCAAGUCGGCUGUGAAAGCCCGGGGCCCAACCCCGGAGGUGCAGCCGAGACUGUGGUGCUGGAGACCGGAAGAGGAGGGUGGAAUACCCAGUGUAGAGGUGAAAUUCGUAGAUAUUGGGUGGAACACCGGUGGCGAAAGCGGCUCUCUGGUCCGGUCCUGACGCUGAGGCGCGAAAGCGUGGGGAGCAAACAGG
This 253-nucleotide ribosomal RNA is filed under the name uncultured bacterium. RNAcentral's name for it is "partial 16S ribosomal RNA". It matches the Rfam family "Bacterial small subunit ribosomal RNA", at positions 524 to 776 of the family's 1533-position model. The record is from RNAcentral.